Molecule: ribosomal RNA, 268 nt
Filed under: uncultured bacterium
Lineage: Bacteria
Description: partial 16S ribosomal RNA
Rfam family: Bacterial small subunit ribosomal RNA
Source: RNAcentral
GUCCACGCCCUAAACGAUGCCUGUUUGCUGUUUCGAGUAUCGACCCUCGGAGUGGCGUAGCUAACGCGUUAAACAGGCCGCCUGGGAAGUACGGCCGCAAGGCUAAAACUCAAAGGAAUAGACGGGGACUCGCACAAGCGGUGGAACAUGAGGUUUAAUUCGAUAGUAAGCGAGGAACCUUACCAAGGUUUGAAAUUCUUUCUGACCGGCGGCGGAAACGUUGCCUUUCUCACAAGGACAGAAAGUCCAGGUGCUGCAUGGUUGUCGU